Molecule: ribosomal RNA, 976 nt
Filed under: uncultured Hypocreales
Lineage: Eukaryota; Fungi; Ascomycota; Sordariomycetes; Hypocreales
Description: eukaryotic LSU rRNA
Rfam family: Eukaryotic large subunit ribosomal RNA (bases 334-976)
Source: RNAcentral
AAAACUUUCAACAACGGAUCUCUUGGCUCUGGCAUCGAUGAAGAACGCAGCGAAAUGCGAUAAGUAAUGUGAAUUGCAGAAUUCAAUGAAUCAUCGAAUCUUUGAACGCACAUUGCGCCCGCCAGUAUUCUGGCGGGCAUGCCUGUUCGAGCGUCAUUACAACCCUCAGGCCCCCGGGCCUGGCGUUGGGGAUCGGCGGAAGCCCCCUGCGGGCACAACGCCGUCCCCCCAAAUACAGUGGCGGUCCCGCCGCAGCUUCCAUUGCGUAGUAGCUAACACCUCGCAACUGGAGAGCGGCGCGGCCACGCCGUAAAACACCCAACUUCUGAAUGUUGACCUCGAAUCAGGUAGGAAUACCCGCUGAACUUAAGCAUAUCAAUAAGCGGAGGAAAAGAAACCAACAGGGAUUGCCCCAGUAACGGCGAGUGAAGCGGCAACAGCUCAAAUUUGAAAUCUGGCUCUCGGGCCCGAGUUGUAAUUUGUAGAGGAUGCUUUUGGUGAGGUGCCUUCCGAGUUCCCUGGAACGGGACGCCAUAGAGGGUGAGAGCCCCGUCUGGUUGGACACCGAUCCUCUGUAAAGCUCCUUCGACGAGUCGAGUAGUUUGGGAAUGCUGCUCUAAAUGGGAGGUAUAUGUCUUCUAAAGCUAAAUACCGGCCAGAGACCGAUAGCGCACAAGUAGAGUGAUCGAAAGAUGAAAAGAACUUUGAAAAGAGAGUUAAAAAGUACGUGAAAUUGUUGAAAGGGAAGCGCUUGUGACCAGACUUGGGCUUGGUUGAUCAUCCGGGGUUCUCCCCGGUGCACUCUUCCGGCUCAGGCCAGCAUCAGUUCGCCCUGGGGGAUAAAGGCUUCGGGAAUGUGGCUCUCUCCGGGGAGUGUUAUAGCCCGCUGCGUAAUACCCUGUGGCGGACUGAGGUUCGCGCAUUCGCAAGGAUGCUGGCGUAAUGGUCAUCAGUGACCCGUCUUGAAACACGGACC